Molecule: transfer RNA, 68 nt
Filed under: Thecadactylus rapicauda
Lineage: Eukaryota; Metazoa; Chordata; Lepidosauria; Squamata; Phyllodactylidae
Description: tRNA-Ala
Rfam family: tRNA
About the family: Transfer RNA (tRNA) molecules are approximately 80 nucleotides in length. Their secondary structure includes four short double-helical elements and three loops (D, anti-codon, and T loops). Further hydrogen bonds mediate the characteristic L-shaped molecular structure. tRNAs have two regions of fundamental functional importance: the anti-codon, which is responsible for specific mRNA codon recognition, and the 3' end, to which the tRNAs corresponding amino acid is attached (by aminoacyl-tRNA synthetases). tRNAs cope with the degeneracy of the genetic code in two manners: having more than one tRNA (with a specific anti-codon) for a particular amino acid; and 'wobble' base-pairing, i.e. permitting non-standard base-pairing at the 3rd anti-codon position.
Source: RNAcentral
GAGGUCUUAGCUUAAGUAAAGUGUCUGGGUUGCAGUCAGGUGAUGUUGAUUAAAAUUCUGCAGGCCUU